CAGCAGCCGCGGUAAUACGGAGGGAGCUAGCGUUGUUCGGAAUUACUGGGCGUAAAGCGCACGUAGGCGGUUAUUCAAGUCAGAGGUGAAAGCCCGGGGCUCAACCCCGGAACUGCCUUUGAAACUAGAUGACUGGAAUCUUGGAGAGGUCAGUGGAAUUCCGAGUGUAGAGGUGAAAUUCGUAGAUAUUCGGAAGAACACCAGUGGCGAAGGCGACUGACUGGACAAGUAUUGACGCUGAGGUGCGAAAGCGUGGGGAGCAAACAGGAUUAGAUACCCCCGUAGUCCCUGUCUCUUAUAC
This 301-nucleotide ribosomal RNA is filed under the name uncultured bacterium. RNAcentral describes it as "partial 16S ribosomal RNA". It matches the Rfam family "Bacterial small subunit ribosomal RNA", at positions 509 to 807 of the family's 1533-position model. The record is from RNAcentral.